GCAACUGUUGGGAAGGGNNAUCGGUGCGGGCNNNNNNNUAUUANGCCAGCUGGCGAAAGGGGGAUGUGCUGCAAGGNNGAUUAAGUUGGGUAACGCCAGGGUUUUCCCAGUCANGACGUUGUAAAACGACGGCCAGUGAAUUGUAAUACGACUCACUAUAGGGCGAAUUGGGCCCGACGUCGCAUGCUCCCGGCCGCCAUGGCGGCCGCGGGAAUUCGAUUAGAGUUUGAUCCUGGCUCAGAUUGAACGCUGGCGGCAGGCCUAACACAUGCAAGUCGAACGGUAACAGAAAGCAGCUUGCUGCUUUGCUGACGAGUGGCGGACGGGUGAGUAAUGUCUGGGAAACUGCCUGAUGGAGGGGGAUAACUACUGGAAACGGUAGCUAAUACCGCAUAACGUCGCAAGACCAAAGAGGGGGACCUUAGGGCCUCUUGCCAUCGGAUGUGCCCAGAUGGGAUUAGCUAGUAGGUGGGGUAACGGCUCACCUAGGCGACGAUCCCUAGCUGGUCUGAGAGGAUGACCAGCCACACUGGAACUGAGACACGGUCCAGACUCCUACGGGAGGCAGCAGUGGGGAAUAUUGCACAAUGGGCGCAAGCCUGAUGCAGCCAUGCCGCGUGUAUGAAGAAGGCCUUCGGGUUGUAAAGUACUUUCAGCGGGGAGGAAGGGAGUAAAGUUAAUACCUUUGCUCAUUGACGUUACCCGCAGAAGAAGCACCGGCUAACUCCGUGCCAGCAGCCGCGGUAAUACGGAGGGUGCAAGCGUUAAUCGGAAUUACUGGGCGUAAAGCGCACGCAGGCGGUUUGUUAAGUCAGAUGUGAAAUCCCCGGGCUCAACCUGGGAACUGCAUCUGAUACUGGCAAGCUAAUCACUAGUGAAUUCGCGGCCGCCUGCAGGUCGACCAUAUGGGAGAGCUCCNNA
RNAcentral lists this ribosomal RNA (921 nucleotides) under uncultured Enterobacteriaceae bacterium. RNAcentral describes it as "bacterial SSU rRNA". The stretch from base 215 to 921 matches the Rfam family "Bacterial small subunit ribosomal RNA", at positions 1 to 692 of the family's 1533-position model. Lineage: Bacteria; Pseudomonadati; Pseudomonadota; Gammaproteobacteria; Enterobacterales; Enterobacteriaceae. The record is from RNAcentral.